Molecule: non-coding RNA, 111 nt
Filed under: Paraburkholderia tropica
Lineage: Bacteria; Pseudomonadati; Pseudomonadota; Betaproteobacteria; Burkholderiales; Burkholderiaceae
Description: Glycine sequence
Rfam family: Glycine riboswitch aptamer
About the family: This family represents the bacterial glycine riboswitch. Glycine riboswitches usually consist of two metabolite-binding aptamers domains with similar structures in tandem.
Source: Rfam by way of RNAcentral
CUGCGCGCGCCGGGAGAGCGCGACGUUCGCGAGUCGAGUCAAUUUCGAAUCGCAACGCCGCCGCCGAAGGGGCAACCCACAAACUCUCAGGCAAAAGGACCGUGCGCGCCG